This 743-nucleotide long non-coding RNA is filed under the name Linum usitatissimum (flax). Its description in RNAcentral is "long non-coding RNA (LUSI_LNC003253)". Lineage: Eukaryota; Viridiplantae; Streptophyta; Magnoliopsida; Malpighiales; Linaceae. The record is from RNAcentral.
AACAACAAUCAUUCACAAGGGGCAAAAAUAAAAAGAAUUUAAAGGUAAAUUCCAAUCCACAUAUAUAACUGACAAACAAGAAAACCUAAACAACAGACUGCAUGAAGUAAAAUGAUUGGAACCCCUAACCCAGUCUCUACUAAAUCCAAAUGAAUCAUCAUGCAAAGAGAGAUGGCAAUUGUUCAAUCAAUCUACAGUAUAAGAAAAUUAGAGGAGAGAAUUGAGCAGCAGUCAACAUACCACUUCCUGCUGACAAUAAUCUUUUGGCGACCUGGGAAUUUGAACUUAGCACGACGAAGAGCCUCCUGGGCAUGCUGACUGUUGCUGUCCUUGCAACGAACAGACAGGAGCACCUGGCCAAUAGCAACCCUGGCACAGACACCUUGGGGCUUACCGAAGGCACCCCUCAUACCAGUCUGAAGCCUAUCGGCUCCAGCACAUGAAAGCAUCUUGUUGAUACGCAGGACAUGGAACGGAUGCACCCUGACCCUCAAGUGGAAAGCAUCCUUUCCAGCAGACUUGGUCAUGUACUUGUUGCAGGCAAUACGGGCAGCCUCAAGAGCUUCACUGGACACAUUCUCCUUCUCCCAGGACACCAAAUGGACACAGAAGGGGAAUUCAUCGACUCCCUUCUUCUUCAUCCCAACAUCGUAGAUCCUGAUCUUGGGGUCAGGGACACCACGGCAGAAACGAGAUUUCGGGUAGGGCUUGUUCUUAAUCUGACGGUAACACCUAGCAGGUCC